RNAcentral lists this ribosomal RNA (394 nucleotides) under uncultured bacterium. RNAcentral describes it as "bacterial SSU rRNA". It matches the Rfam family "Bacterial small subunit ribosomal RNA", at positions 142 to 518 of the family's 1533-position model. The record is from RNAcentral.
AGUAACAUCCGGAAACGGGUAGCUAAUACCGCAUAGUUUUCUUGAUCGCAUGAUUGAGAAGGAAAGACGGCCUUUGUGCUGUCGCUUAUGGAUGGACCCGCGGCGUAUUAGUUAGUUGGUGAGGUAAUGGCUCACCAAGACGAUGAUACGUAGCCGACCUGAGAGGGUGAUCGGCCACAUUGGGACUGAGACACGGCCCAAACUCCUACGGGAGGCAGCAGUAGGGAAUCUUCCGCAAUGGACGAAAGUCUGACGGAGCAACGCCGCGUGAGUGAAGAAAAGGUUUUCGGAUCGUAAAACUCUGUUGUCAGAGAAGAACAAGUUGGAGAGUAACUGCUCCAGCCUUGGCGGUAUCUGACCAGAAAGCCACGGCUAACUACGUGCCAGCCGCGGC